This 75-nucleotide transfer RNA is filed under the name Rhodospirillales bacterium. RNAcentral describes it as "tRNA-Pro". It matches the Rfam family "tRNA". Rfam says of the family: Transfer RNA (tRNA) molecules are approximately 80 nucleotides in length. Their secondary structure includes four short double-helical elements and three loops (D, anti-codon, and T loops). Further hydrogen bonds mediate the characteristic L-shaped molecular structure. tRNAs have two regions of fundamental functional importance: the anti-codon, which is responsible for specific mRNA codon recognition, and the 3' end, to which the tRNAs corresponding amino acid is attached (by aminoacyl-tRNA synthetases). tRNAs cope with the degeneracy of the genetic code in two manners: having more than one tRNA (with a specific anti-codon) for a particular amino acid; and 'wobble' base-pairing, i.e. permitting non-standard base-pairing at the 3rd anti-codon position. Lineage: Bacteria; Pseudomonadati; Pseudomonadota; Alphaproteobacteria; Rhodospirillales. The record is from RNAcentral.
CGGGGCGUAGCGCAGCCUGGCUAGCGUACCUGCUUUGGGAGCAGGGGGUCGGAGGUUCGAAUCCUCUCACCCCUA